Non-coding RNA from Equus caballus (horse), 12712 nucleotides. Lineage: Eukaryota; Metazoa; Chordata; Mammalia; Perissodactyla; Equidae. The record is from RefSeq and is a predicted model, not a curated record.
AAACCAUCUGGUCCUGGGCUUUUCUGUGAUGGGAGAUUUUUGAUUACUGAUUCAAUCUCCUUACUCAUUACUGGUCUGUUUAGAAUUUCUAUUGCUUCAUGAUUCAGUCUUGAUAAAUUGUGUGUUCCUAUUUCUUCUAGGCUGUCCAAUUUGUUGGCAUGUAAUUGUUCAUAGUAGUCUAUUAUGAUCUUAUGUAUAUUUGUGGCAUCAAUUAUAAUGUCUCCUCUUUCAUUUCUGAUUUCAUUUGAGUAUUCUCUUUUUUUUCUUUGUUAGUCUAGCUAAAGGUUUGUCAAUUUUGUUGGAUCUUCAAAAAACCCAGUUCUUGGUUUUGUUGAUCUUUUCUAUUGGUUUUCUGGUCUCUAUUUCACUUAUUUCUUAUCUGAUUUUUGUUAUUUCCUUUGUUCUGAUAGCCUCGGGCUUAGUUUGCCUUUCUUUUUCUAGUUCCUCGAGGUGUAAGUUAUGUUGUUUAUUUGAGAUCUUUCUUUUUUCUUAGUAUAUGAAUUUAUUGCUACAAACUUCCUUCUAAGAACUGCUUUUAGAGCAUCCCAUAGGUUUUGGUAUGUUGUGUUUCCAUUUUUAUUAGUUUUGAGAUGUUUUUUAUUUCUUCCUUGAACUUUUGGUUGUUCAGGAAUGUGUUGUUUAGUUUCCAUAUGUUUGUAAAUUUACUUGUUUUUCUUGACUUUGACAGCCCUGUGGAGUACUAACUUGGUAUCCUGCAGAAUGUCCCAAUAUGAGUUUACUUGAUGUUUUCCUCAUAACUAGACUGGAAUUAUGUGUUUUCUUUGGAAAGAAUACCAGAUUAGUAAAGUGCUCCUUUUAUUACAUCAUAUCAGGGGGUAAAUGACAUCCACAUGACAGUACUGAUAAUGUUAACCUUCAUCACUUGGUUAAGUUAGUGUUUGCUAGGUUUCUCCAUGUAAAGAUAUUAUUUAUUAGAAUGUAAGACCUGUGGGAGUAUAGAUGCUUUAUGGGGUUUUUUUUUUUUACUGCUAUAUCAGCAGUGUCUAGAAUAGUGCAUGGCCCAUAGGCACUCAAUAAGUAUUUGUUGAAUGAAUAAAUGAAUAAAUGGAAGGAUGAAGUAGAUGAUCCUCGCCUUCCCACUCUACUCAACUCUUUCUAAAAAUUUGUUCUGACCAUACUUGUGAUUACUAACAUCAAUUUUAUUAGGGCAUAUAGUCUAUAUGCAUGAAAUGCAGUACAGUGCCUGCCACCAAUUACUUAAUAUGUAUGGGCCUUAGGAUACAUUGGUUGACAGGUGGCUUAUUUACUGAGACUAUAUUUAAUUUUGGCUUGAAAGGCCAGGGCAAGAUGAUAUAGACCAACUUUAUCCAUGUUGGGAUUUAGCAUACAGCAUUUGAAUGAGGUUAGGUUUUCGUAAGGCCUACAUUUUCAGAUUUCCUUUCUACUACUUCUUAGCAUUUUGUUUCUGGGCAAGUGAUCUAGCAUCUUAGAAUGUUCUCAUCUCUGAUAUGGGAGUAAUUGUUUUUUUCUUGUAGGUUGAUACUAGGAUUUAGUGAAAUCACAUAGCAAGCUCCUACUCAGUGCCUGGCAUUUUACUCAAUACAUACUGGUUUACUUCACUUUCCACAACCUUCUGAAGUAUGUAGUCGAAUUAUUUUUUUCUAUUCUAGGAGAGUGAUUUUCUACAAAAAGCAUCUUUUAUCUGGAAGGUCAGUAAAGACAAUUCCAUUUCAUUAAAGAGCUGGCGACAUUAUAAUUUGCUUAGAAACAGGCUCUGGCUUCCAUUAUAAAACUGAUCUGGCAUAUGUGCAAAGAACCAGAUUACUUUUCUACUGGAAAGGAAGCUGAUGGAAUAGAAAUACUUUACAAAUGUGCACAGAACAGUUUACCCUCAUGCAGUGUCUGCGCCUGAUGAAAUAUCAUAUGGCGCCCUGCAGUAGAUGUGGCUCAACAUAAAAUUUGUCACUUCCCAAGUACUUGAAAUAUUUCCCCACUUCUUAUACCUCUGCACUGCACAUGCUUAUUUGGUAAUGUUUGUCUGCCUUCUUAUUUCAGGAGCUGAAGUGACAUAGUCCUGUCUUAUAAUUUGCCAAGUGAUUGAAGGUGCCACACAGGUCCAUAUUACCCCAGUAAUGUCACCGAUUCCUUGUUCUUAAAGAAGAAAAGAGGAUAGUGAGCACUUAGCUUGAGGGUGAUGUGUUCUGUGGGAAUGUAUAUUCUCUGCAAGUUGUUUAUGAUUUUUUUCUUCCGUACAGCCAGAGGAGUGGAAGGACAUAUUUCAAAUUCCCAUUGGCAAGGGCUCCUGCUUCUUUUAAAAGGAUUUGUAAAAUUCCAUCCCUUUGAAUCUUGUCAGUGAUCUCUGGAUAUCCUCCAGGCUUUCUUUCAUAAAGCUUUCAGCACACAGAGCGGAGUGGGCUGGGCAGGGGAAUGUGUAUGUGAGAGUGUGUGCUUGCAUAUGUGUGUGUGUGUGUGCUUCUGUGCCUAUCUGAAGCUGCCUUGAUUAAAAUGCCAGUAUUCUGUCACUUUCUAGUCUGAAUUUACUAUGGCAAUAAAAUGGAAGCAUCCCCCUGCACAGUGAGGUAUAGCUGUUGAGUCUCGCCAUUUUGUGUUGUAUCUAAAAAGUCAUCUUAGCCAAGUCAGCUUAAUGUAGAUCAGUAGCCACAUCUUCCCUUUGGUUCCUUUCUUGUUUCUCUUCUGUAGAACUUCUCAUCAGCUGAUGAAUUCAAGGGAAAAUCAUUUCCCUGGAGCUGUGACAGUUCUCCAUGUGUGGAGAGACAGGGAUCACAUUCAAUCUUCAGGGAUGACAGGUAUGAGUGGAGUUUGCCAGGAGUUUUAUGGUUUCAAAGUGCCUAUAUUUUCUGUUUUCAACUUCUUUUGGAAAGCACAAAUCACCAAAUAUUGGCGAGGCAAAGUUUCACUUCUUCCCAAAUCAUCAGAUAAUGGAUAAUGGAAGUUGUCCAGCCCCACAAGUCAGUUUGUGGGCUGCAGGUUCAAAAAAGCACUUCCUAAGUGCACUCAGAAUUUUGCAGGGCCUGAAGCUUUUGAGGUUUGAGAGUAAGUGACAGAAAAGCAGAAUUAAUCAAUAGUCGUCUUACUAGGAAAAAAGACGUCAGCUAUUUCUUUUAUUCUUUGUGGGUUGCUUCAGAUUCAAAAGUUGCUAUGGUCCUGUAAAACCAGGAUUCUGGGCAAAAAGUAAAUUGGAUGGUAAGCACAGCCAAACUGGUUUGUUUUCCCCAUGAGCCCUGUGAUGGUUCAUUUUAUGUGUCAACUUGAUUGAGCUUAAGAGGUGCCUGGAUACUUGGUAAAACAUUAUUUCUGGAUGUGUCUGUGAGGGUGUCUCAGCAAGAGAUUAGCAUUUGAAUCAGUAGACUGUAAAGAAGAUGGCCCUUCCCAACGUUGGUGGGCAUCAGCCAAUCUGUUGAGGGCCUGAAUAGGACCAAAGGGUGGAGGAAUUGUGAAUUCACUCUCUCUGCUGGAGCUGAGACAUCCAUCUUCUCCUGUGCCUUGGACAUUCGCGCUCCGGUUCUUGGUCUUUCUGACUCAGACCAAGACUUAUACCAUGGCUCCCAGAUUCUCAGGCCUUCGGAGUGGGACUGAAUCACACCACUCACUUUCCUAGUUCUCCAGCUUGCAGACAGCAGAUUGUGGGACUUCUCGGCCUGCACAGUCAUGUGAGCCAAUUCCUAUAAUAAACCUCCUCUUAUAUAUCUCUAUAUAUCCUAUUGAUUCUGUUUCUCUGGAGAAUCCUGACUAAUACAAGCCCCAUGCAUGGAAAGAAACAGAACUUCCACUCCACUUAGCAGAUUUUGCACAUAUUUAUUCAGGGAUUAAUUACUCUCUUGAGGCUGAUAGGUUUCACAUAUCACUAUAUUGAGAUUGAUUAACUCAUUCAUAUAUUCACUCUGUGAAUACUAAGUGCCAAACACCAUGCCAGGUUGUGAAUACAAAGAUAAUUCAACCCCGAAUCACAACGUACCUCACUGACUUGACUGCAAACUCCUUGCCAGCAAAGAGCUUAGCAGGGAAAAUAAAUUAUGAACAUCAGAAAACCAUAAUACAAGACAGAAAGUGAAAUGCCAUUAAAGCAGACAGAUAAAGAGAGGUAGAGAGAAAUUGUCCUGAGUAGGGAAAGGUGAUAUUUGCUGGAGGGAUGAGGCAAGACUAAGAAGGUAUUUGACCUGGGCUUCAAAUUUAUAGGAAAAGGAAGCAACCACAUUCCAAGUGAUCAAAGGCACAGAUGUGGAAAAGCACAGGACAUAGAAUGCAGACAUUUCUUGUGGUAGUGGGUGGGGGAGAUGAGAGAAGGAGAAAGGGACAAUUCCAUAACCUAGGACCUGUUUCAGAUUUAGGAUUUAUGGGGUUCUUGGAGCAAAACAGCUACUUGCAAGCUGGGUUCAGCACACUGUUCUUCCAUUGUAUGAAAGUGACAGCCAUUCUGUAUGGCCUCUGUGGAUCCAAGGAAUACAAUAAAGGGAGGUGGCACUUCGGGGCAAGGGGUAGAGGCAGGGAGUCUGGGGAUGUGUGAUGUUUUCUGACACCAAUUCCGACAAGAAGUAUGUGGUCAUUUUUCUAUACCAAUUCUCCGUCUCCAGCUGGGUGUCUAAUUCAAUUCAACUUGGACAUUAUAUACCUGGUGUUAGUGUCAGCUCCUGUAAAUUAAAGGAUUCGGUCCCACAGACUGCUCCCAUCACAGAUGCCAGCUGCAAGUGGGGUCCUCAGGUGACCCACUCUUCAGCCUGGCUGACUACAUAUUUGAGGAUUCCCAUGACUCCCCAACCCAAGUUUAAUUAUUCACUAGAAUGACUCACAGAACUCAGGAAACUGCUCUAGUUACUAUCACAGUUUUUUAAAUACAGGCUGCAACUCAGGAACAGCUAAAUGGAAGAGUGCAUAGGGCAAGGUAUGGGGCGGGAGUUGUGGAGCUUCCACGUCUUCUCCAACUGGGCUUCUUCAAGUGGGUGUUCAGCAACUCAGAAACUCCCCGUACUCCGCAAUUUAGGGGUUUUCUGGAAGUUUCAUUACAUAGACAUAAUUGAUUAAAUCAUUGGCCACGGGUGAUUGAACUCAAUCUUCAGUCCUUGUCUCUUCCCUGGAGGUUGGGAGAUGGGGCUGAAAGUUCUAGCCCUCUAAUCAUGUGGUUGGUUUUUCUGGUGACCAGCCCACACCAUGGGUCACCUUGUGAGCAUAUGAAAGAUAGUAACUUCCAAGGAUUUUGGGAGCUCUGUGCCAGGAACCAGGGACAAAGACCAAAUAUUUCUUUUUUAUUAUACCACUGGGACGGAAACCAUUUACUUCACAAUCUUGCUGAGGAGGAGGAUGGCUCCUAGAACAGGCUUGGGUGAUGGAGUUCUGAGGUAACAACAAAUAACACAACUUGGAUCAAGGAUGAGUGUACUGGUGACUGUUCUGGAACAGGAUGAGGGCCUGGGCCACGGUUGGAUGAGGUGAUGCAAGGCUGAUGAGACCUUUCUGAAGACUGUUUUGCAAUGUGUGGUACUGUUGGCUCUGUCUAGAAGUUUCUGGGCUCUAACUUAGGGCAAGUUAGAAGAGAAAAUGACUUUACCUUACUUUUCUGUUACGUAAGAUCUGUUCUUUUUAGCAUAAUUUCCACUGGAGUAAAGCUCUCAGAGAGAAGGGAAACUAGGCCCAAGUUAGUGUCAGUUCUGGAAUAACCAUCUAGAAUAAUUACUUUCUCUGCCUGGCUGAGGAUGACCCAUCUUGUUAACAAUCAAAGAGUAAAUAUAUGUGUAGAAAGAUUUGAAGAACACACUGACAAGCUGGCUUGAAUCAUUUUUAAAUGUUCACACUUUUCUCUGUGCUGCUAGCAGAGGAAUCUUUGCAGGCAAGAGCUUGGCUGAAUGGUCUUAACAGUGACAUAAAGAGGCCGACUCAGGACUCCACAAGAACUGAGGGUUAACUCUCUUCUUUCUUCUUGUAGACAACUAAGAGGUCAGUCUGUGUGACAUCUUUGAACAUUCUGAGGACUCAACCUUAGAAUCUAUCUUAGUCUGUUCAGGCUGCUCUAACAAAAUAGCACAGACUGGGUGGCUUAUAAACAACAGAAAUUUAUUUCUCACAGUUCUGGAGGCUGGAAGUGUGCAAUCAGGGUGCCUGUCUAGUCGAGUUCUGGUGAAGGCUCUCUUCUGGGCUGAAGACUGGUGACUUCUCACUGUGCCCUCACUUGGUGGAAGGGGGGUGUGCGAGCUCUCUGGGGCCUCCUUUAUAAAGUCUAGGAAUUGAAAGCAGGUUAAUGGAGGUGGAAUUUGAUGGGCCAUGAAGAGAGUGUCAGGAGGUGAACUUGCAGAGGUAGGCAGGCCCAGAUCUGGCAUAACUGUGGUGCCCCAGUAGGAAAUUUGGAUUUUCUUUGAAUGCAUAGGAAGUCCCUGAAGUUUUCUAAGCAGAGGAAUGACCUGAUUUCAUUCAUAUUUUACAGAAUUUGCUCUGACUGCAAUCUGGAGAAUGGCUUGGAGGGAGGUCAAGAGUAAAAAGAAUGACAUACGCUGCUCUGGGUUAGAAGCCUCUCCUCUAUGUCAUGAAGCACCUGGUGCUGAUUUGAGCAUAGUGCUUAUUAACCAUAGUCACAAUUUUGUGUUUACUUCUUGCCUCCAUCAGUUGGAGAGCUCCUUCAGGGUGGGGAUUGUGUCUUUUGUCUCCAUACCAUAUAGUAAGUGUUCAAUAGGUGUAUUUUUUAAGGAAUGAAAAAGAAAACAAUGAAAUGAGUGUCAGAUCCAACUUUUUCUCUCUACAUCUCUAGUUCUCUCAUCUGGAAAAAGAAUUCUCAACUAAGGAACUGUCCAGCUAUAAAAACCAUGUUUGGGGGAGAGGAAAGGACAUUUUUGAUGAGGCGUCACAGUAAGAGGUCUGAAGGAGAGUGGGAUGGUCAGGGUGUGUAUGUGCUGGAGGUGGGUGUAGAUGGGACAGAAAGGGAGACUACUUGAUUGGAGUAGGUGGUUCACCAGUGAUUUUUAAUUACUGGAGUUUUUCUGGAUUGUGAAAAAUGUUUCAAGUGUAGGGAGAAAACAGCCAAAUCUCCGCGCAUUCAUCAGGGUGAAAACAAGGCUAAUGUCCUUUUGGGCAGCCAACUCCCACAGCCCACUGAGACUCCUCUAUCUAGAGCAAGGAGCUGGUAAGCUCUUAACUCUCAAAAAUUUGUACAAUGAGAGUUUAUACACCAGGCACCUGUCUCCGCACCAUAGCACAGUAGGAUAAAAAGUAUAAUAAAUGGUGUGAAUGAAAUUAAAGAUACAUAUGAUAAGAUAAAUUUGGGGGUGUUUCAUAAAAUCACUUUGGGGGAGGGAGAACUCAUUAGGUUGUGAAAAUGAAUCACAAUGAGAACAGGGUCCCAUUGGCAGAGCAUCACUCACCACAGAGUAAUUCUGCCAUUGUCGUGGGGCUCUGUGUGGAGGGUGGAUUGAUGGUGAUCCUUUUUUUAUUGAGAUUUUGGGCUCACAUCUCAUUUAUGUUUAUGCCAGCCAGAUGGCAGAGCCUUUAUUUGUCAUUGCAUCUCUUAGCCGUUUCUUGAUCUCUGAGGCUUGAGUGAAUGGUACAGUAAGUAUGCCCGGGAAAUGCAUCAGUAAACACUAAGAGAAAAAGACAAUGCCGAGGGCAGGAGUUUAUUCCACAGGAUAACAGGGAUGAAGUUCAGAAAAGGAAAGAUGGAUGUUUAAUGCCUGGAAAAAUACUGUGGCCUUUCGACUUUAAGAAGAACUUCCCAAGGGAAGCUGUGAAAAUCCCACUACAUGAGGCAUUUGAGGAUAGAUUGGAUGAUGCACUGGAGAUUAUCUUGCAGGGAGUCAAAUGUCCUCUGGUCCAGGGAGUGGACUAAAGUAGCCACAAAACCCACAAAAUGGUCUUUUGUGAUUAUGGUUCUGGGAGUCCAAUCAGGUCUUGCUUUAUUGAAUCCUUCGUUACAAUCAAUAUGAAUUUCCCCAGGCGGAACUGAAGUACCGCACCUUAGAAUUCGAGCCUUGGUGUGCGCACGUGCCUGUGGUCCAGCCAGCUAAGAGGCUGUUCGGUGAGGCAUCUGUCUGACACAUUGCACUGGUGUGAUCCCUUCCUUUGCCCUUCCCUCACUUCCUCUUCCCUACUCUCUUCCUUUCCUCCCCUCCCGUCUCGCAUUCUUUUCUCCUCUACAGACAGAACAGAUAUGGGGGGUAUAAAGGCCUGGAGAAGGAGUCAUCCUAUGUGCCUGUCGGAUGCCUGCUCUCUGCUGCUCACUGUGCUGCGGUUUGGUGUUUGGAGGAGAAUAUGGAUUUAAGUGCAGCAGAGUCAAAGAGAGACUUGGGAACUGCUGAGGCCUGCCGGCCAUUCCACAGUGAACAGGCCCUGCAAAGUCUGCAGAGUUGCCAUUAAAAUCUCCUUCUUGUUCGUGCCCCAGCCUGCCUAGAGAUCUGCUGGGGCCUCUGGGUCUUCUCUGUUUUAUAGCUAUUGUUAAAGAUUUGACGUUGGGAGGGGAAAGGAAGGUUUUAGUUCCCUAAGGACAGACCAAAUCUGUCAUUCAAGUUCAGCUGUAAGAGACUCCGGGGUGAAAAUGUUGAAGACCAGCUCCUCAUUCUUCUUUCUUUUCCUAAUUAAUUGCAACUGAUCUAAAAAUACUUAUAGCUGGGAAAGUCUCUGAUGCUGGAGCUGGAACAAGUUGCUGAUUUGGUCACAGAACUGGAUCUAAGGCAAGCACAGGGACCCAGGCAAGUCAAGAGGCUGAGGACUCGUAAGUCAGUUCUUGGGGACUGCUCCCCUCAUUAGUUCAGUUUAUUGCACACUUUCUCCAUUGAUUGAGAUGUGUGCAAUUUUCCCACACAGUAGACUCUGGCCCUUUAUGGCUGUAACAUUUACAGUUUAAGCUACUUGAGCGUGAUCUGAAAGUCCAUUCUAUAAGAUAAAAUGCGAAAAUUGCUGAGGCAUGAAUUUGAAUCACUGGAACUGCAAGGGAGUUGUGGGCGAGUCAAUUACCUCGUGUCUGGACCAGCUUCUUGCCCAGUCUCCACCUCUUAGGGCAGCCCUUUCCAGUCUUUCUUCAUUGUUCUGUGUGAGAAGGUUUGGGGACAUAGCCGUGGUGAAUGCUGUGAUUCUGUCAACGAGUAAGAGGCAGAAACUACAAAAGAAGCAAAAAGGUUUAUUUGGGGUCCCAAGAAUUGCAAUUCAGGAGACAUAGUUUCAAGUAGAAACUCAAAUGUGCUCCAAGGAAGACAAAGGAAAGAGGGGUUUAUAAAGGCAAAAAGAGAGAAAUUACAUAGGCUGUUUUGCAAGAGUUGUGAUUGGUGCCGGCAACAACUGUUACUUCUUGGCUACACGUGAUUGGUUGCUGAGGCCAUCUCUGAGGCAGAAAGUUCUUAUCUACGAGAGUCAGCAUAUUUCUUGGAAGAAGGUCAGGAUGACAGCAGUGAUGCACAGUUCAAAAGUUUACGUUCCAUCUGGGUAGAGACGUGCAUAAACCUCACUUCCCUGACGGCCUCCCAGCUCCAUUUUAGAAGGCUUGACAUAUGUUACUCCAUUUUUUAAAUCAUUGUGUACAAUUCUUAAAUGCCUGUGACUACAAACCAAAGCCCAGCCCAGCCCAGCUUUCCUAAACACGCACAAUCAUAAAGAAGACCCAAGGAGCAGUCAACAGAACAAAUUUGAAGCUGCUCAGCAUUAUUUAUUCAUCUUUUAUUGUGGGCUAGGCCUUGUGCUAUGUGUCAUAAGAAAUGCAAAGAUGAAUAUGACCCAGUUUUUGCCCUCAAAGAAAAUACAACCAAUAAGAGUCAAAAACAAUACAAAUGACCAUAAUAUAGGGCCGUGCCAGAUAACCACUCUGGGGUGUUUUCCAUACCAACAACCAAUUCUCUGAUUCUCCAGACACCAGUGUGGUAUUCAACAAUUCAAUUCAAUUCUGAUGCUACCUGGCAUUAGUGCAGACCCCACAGGUUAAGGGCUCAAGUCCCACAAGACUGACCCCCACAUCAGACACCAGUCGCAAGUCCUGGGCCUCCAAUAUUUUUGACCCACCAGCUAUAAAUUGGGGGUUCCCAUGACCCCCUCCUCACAUUUGACAAUGUAACCAUGGGCCUGCUAGCACUAGUUCAAACUAACCCCAUCUCUUAUCAACAGAGUGAUUAGGAGUUGUUUUCCAGAAAAUUUGCAAAGUCGCAUAGCCAGAGCAUGUGCAGAAGAGGAAAUCUUGACCUGAAAUGACACUGAAACCAAAGAUUCUCCUCUACACAGAACCAAAGGACUGGGACAUGACCAGAACUCGAAAGUCAGACCCUCAUCAGAGGCCAGGGGUCCAAUGUCUAGGAGGAUCCAAUGUUAAAACCCCUUCCACACUUUACCAUAAAUGUUUAAAACCUUACCAUAGAUAUUGAAAACUCUACCAUAAAUUCUUAAAGCCCUCCAAUCAAAACAUGCCCUGCCAGCCCUUUCUGGGUACCAGCUUGUUGUCCCUAACCUCUUAAAUUUUGCCCCAAAUCCUGAAUCGGGGAGACAGAUCUGAGAGCUUCGGCCUCUUGUCUGCUUGCAGGUCAACCUCUCAAUAAAAGCCUUUUCUUUUCGCAAGAGCUGAUGCCGUAAUAAUUUUUUUUUUAAUGCACAUCAGGCAGAGAACCCCACUUGUGUGGUAACGGCAAUUUGCUAGACUAGCUCACAGAACUCAGGAGCACAUUCUGCUUACAUUUUUUGGUUUAUUAUAAAGAUACAAGUGAAGAUCAAGAUGAAGAGGUACAUAGGAUGAGGUCUGGAGGGGUCUGGAGCACAGGAGCUUCUGUCCCACGGGGUUGGGGUGCACCUCCCCAGUACAUGGAUGUGUUCACCAACUCAGAAGCUGUCUGAACCCUGCAGUUUAGGGGUUUUUAUGGAGGUUUCGUUAUGUAGUCAGGAUUGAUUAAAUCAUUGGCCAUUGGUGAUCAAACUCAAUCUCUAGCCCCUCUUCCCUUCCAGGAGGUUGGAGGAUGGGGCUCAAAGUUCCAAGCUUCUAAUCAAGGCUUGCUCUUUCUAGAGACCAGCCCCAGUCUUGAAGCUAUCUAGGGGCCCUCAGCCGCCAGUCAUCUCGGGAGCGUACAAAAGACAUUCUUAUCACUCUGGACGUUCCAAGGGUUUUAGGAGCUGUGUACCAGGAACUGGGGACAAAGACCAAAUAUUUAUUUUUUAUUAUAUCAUAACCCCCGUAAGGAAAUUACAAGGAAAGUGUUAUAUGACUUCAGAGAGAAGACAGAUCAAAUCCAUUUUUUAAGACCUCACAUUGCAAUGUCAUGUAAUGGGAAAGAAUUUGGAUUCUGGAGUCUGCCAGCUCUGGCUUUGACUUCUGGGCAAAUCUCAUGGCCACUCUUCUGCUGCUUCAUUGGUAUCCUCAAUCACAAAAUGGAACAAUGUCGAUUCCCCUGGAAGCAGUAAACCACAAUAAGAUGAGGAGAUUACUGCCUGAAACUUGCAAUCCCAUUAUCUGUCAGCCUAUGAAAGAUAAAAAGUGCCACUCGUGUAUCCAGAAAGUCAUUUUUCAGUAGACACAGAUGGUGUGGCUUCCUGACUUCCCCACUUCAUGGAGACUUGCCUUCAGUCUUCACAUGGGACAGUGGCCUGGUUGAAUCCUACAGACAGGAAGAUGGAGGAUGCCUCAACAGUAUUGGAGGAUAAUUGGUAGGGGCUUUAAGGAAGAUAAUGUCCAAUCCCUGACAGUGGCUAGGGGAGAAGGUGAAAGGUUUGGAAAGGUUUUCUGUCAAUAAAACAGAGUUUCCAGCACACUCUCUUAGGUCCAAAAUGAACCCCUUCACCACCAAUAACCUCUGUUGUGUCUGCCCUAAGAAAGGGCAUGUGGAAGAGAGAAGAUGAACACCCAUCGGAUGGGUGAUGCCACAGCUGAUGCUGUGGAGCAUCAUGUGGCGAGUAGCCAUUCACAUUUAUUGCACGCAUUAUAUUCAUUAUCUGGUUUAAUCCUAAGGACAAAGUUUGACGUGGGUACUGUUCUUAUUUCCAUUUCAUAGACAAGGAAAUAGAGGCCAGAGUAUGAAAUAAUUUGCCCAACAUCAUGGAGCUAGUUAGUGGUGAAGCCAGGAUUUGAACCCAGGUCUAUCCAACAACCUAUUUGAGACCUGUUUGUGGCCAGGGGCCUUCACGCUAUGGAAGGUGAGGAAGAUCUAUCCUGCAAGAGAAAAUCUGGGGCCUCAAGGGCCUCGCUGGGGCUCAGGAGUGAGCUCUUGGAUGGGCUCCUUGAGCUGUUUUUAAAAAGCCUUGAAGCACUUUCAGUGACCAAUUCCUCAUUCCAAGUCAGCAGUUGUGGAGCACAGCACACUUCAGCUGCUCUUAAAAGCUAAGUGAGAAGUGGGUGUGAGGUAUUGACAUUCAAAAAAAGAGAAAGACUGUAUUACGGUUCUUUUCACCCAAGCACUUCCAAACCUUUUGAAAGCACCUCGUGGGGAAUCCUGUGAUCACACUUUGCGGAGUAACAAGUGACCCUGCUCAUCCAGAGAAGCAGUGGCAGAUCUAGCUUGAUUCAGAGCAAUGGAACCAGGCUGGGGCGCCCUCUCACAGCUCGGACCCAAACCAGUCCUCCAUCAAUCGCCAUCGAAUUUGGGCCAUCAUGUCCUAGGCGAUUUGGAAUCUAUGUUGUCAGCACCUUUCAUUUUAAUUAAUUGGUUUCUAUGUUGUUUUUUUAAGGAGUUUUUGUUUUUUUAAUGGAGAUUUACAGAUGCUCCAAAGAAUACUCAAGAUAUGGCUGGAUACAGACAGAGAAAGACAAACUCUAUAUGACUCCACUCAUAGGUGGUAGUUAACAUAUAGACAA